RNAcentral lists this non-coding RNA (68 nucleotides) under Alexandrium minutum. Lineage: Eukaryota; Dinophyceae; Gonyaulacales; Pyrocystaceae. The record is from RNAcentral.
AGUGCCCCCUACGUCAACAAGGUCCUCGCAGCUGGCUCCCCCGCCGACGGUCGCCUCUACACGGUGCA